Molecule: ribosomal RNA, 119 nt
Filed under: Gossypium hirsutum (cotton)
Lineage: Eukaryota; Viridiplantae; Streptophyta; Magnoliopsida; Malvales; Malvaceae
Source: RNAcentral
GAGUGUGAUCAUACCAGUAGUAAUGCAUAGGAUCCCAUCAAAACUCCGUAGUUAAGCGUGCUUUCGGGAUAGUAGUACUAUGAUGGGUGACCUUCCGGGAAAUGCUCGUGUUGCACCUC